CUCACCUGUUAUCUUAAAGGCAGAAUGCCCCACUGACCCUUCCUACCUCAGUAAUAGAGCUCACUGGUGUAUUCAGUGUGCAUUACAGUUCCUUCUGCUAAACAGGACACAGUCAUCCCAGGACCCUAUUGUCUCGAGGAAAUGAUGAGAAAACCACAAAGAGAUGGGGUCUUCAUAUAUUGCACAGGAAGGUCUCCAACUCCUGGGCCAAGUGUUCCUCCCACCUUGGCCUCCCAAAGUGGUGAGAGAACAG
RNAcentral lists this long non-coding RNA (253 nucleotides) under Homo sapiens (human). RNAcentral's name for it is "HSALNT0106911". The record is from RNAcentral. Lineage: Eukaryota; Metazoa; Chordata; Mammalia; Primates; Hominidae.